This 524-nucleotide ribosomal RNA is filed under the name uncultured bacterium. Its description in RNAcentral is "partial 16S ribosomal RNA". It matches the Rfam family "Bacterial small subunit ribosomal RNA", at positions 28 to 523 of the family's 1533-position model. The record is from RNAcentral.
GACGAACGCUGGCGGCGUGCCUAAUACAUGCAAGUCGAGCGCAGGAAGCUGACGGAACUCUUCGGAGAGAAGGCAGUGGAAUGAGCGGCGGACGGGUGAGUAACACGUAAGGAACCUGCCUCAAGGAUUGGGAUAACUCCGAGAAAUCGGAGCUAAUACCGGAUAGUUCAACGGACCGCAUGGUCCGCUGAUGAAAGGCGCUUCGGCGUCACCUUGAGAUGGCCUUGCGGUGCAUUAGCUAGUUGGUGGGGUAACGGCCCACCAAGGCGACGAUGCAUAGCCGACCUGAGAGGGUGAUCGGCCACACUGGGACUGAGACACGGCCCAGACUCCUACGGGAGGCAGCAGUAGGGAAUCUUCCACAAUGGACGAAAGUCUGAUGGAGCUACGCCGCGUGAGUGAUGAAGGUUUUCGGAUCGUAAAACUCUGUUGUAAGGGAAGAACACGUACGAGAGGGAAUGCUCGUACCUUGACGGUACCUUACGAGAAAGCCACGGCUAACUACGUGCCAGCAGCCGCGGUAA